This 339-nucleotide unclassified non-coding RNA is filed under the name soil metagenome. RNAcentral describes it as "partial contains 5.8S ribosomal RNA, internal transcribed spacer 2, and large subunit ribosomal RNA". The stretch from base 1 to 120 matches the Rfam family "5.8S ribosomal RNA", at positions 35 to 154 of the family's 154-position model. The record is from RNAcentral.
GAUGAAGAACGUAGCGAAAUGCGAUAACUAAUGUGAAUUGCAGAAUUCAGUGAAUCAUCGGGUCUUUGAACGCACAUUGCGCCCCCUGGUAUUCCGGGGGGCAUGCCUGUCCGAGCGUCAUUGCUGCCCUCAAGCACGGCUUGUGUGUUGGGCUCCGUCCCCCCGGGGACGGGCCCGAAAGGCAGCGGCGGCACCGAGUCCGGUCCUCGAGCGUAUGGGGCUUUGUCACCCGCUCUGUAGGCCCGGCCGGCGCCAGCCGACAACCCAUCAUCCUUUUCAGGUUGACCUCGGAUCAGGUAGGGAUACCCGCUGAACUUAAGCAUAUCAAUAAGCGGAGGA